Molecule: ribosomal RNA, 390 nt
Filed under: uncultured Porphyromonadaceae bacterium
Lineage: Bacteria; Pseudomonadati; Bacteroidota; Bacteroidia; Bacteroidales; Porphyromonadaceae
Description: bacterial SSU rRNA
Rfam family: Bacterial small subunit ribosomal RNA
Source: RNAcentral
UGAGGAAUAUUGGUCAAUGGGCGAGAGCCUGAACCAGCCAAGUAACGUGCGGGACGCGUCCCGUAUUGAGAGUACCCGAAGAAAAAGCAUCGGCUAACUCCGUGCCAGCAGCCGCGGUAAUACGGAGGAUGCGAGCGUUAUCCGGAUUUAUUGGGUUUAAAGGGUGCGCAGGCGGCGCGCCAAGUCAGCGGUCAAAGUUCCGGGCUCAACCCGGUGUCGCCGUUGAAACUGGCGUGCUCGAGUGCGUGCGAGGAAGGCGGAAUGCGUUGUGUAGCGGUGAAAUGCAUAGAUAUGACGCAGAACUCCGAUUGCGAAGGCAGCUUUCCAGCGCGCUACUGACGCUGAGGCACGAAAGCGUGGGGAUCGAACAGGAUUAGAUACCCUGGUAGU